This 465-nucleotide ribosomal RNA is filed under the name uncultured bacterium. Its description in RNAcentral is "partial 16S ribosomal RNA". It matches the Rfam family "Bacterial small subunit ribosomal RNA", at positions 28 to 507 of the family's 1533-position model. The record is from RNAcentral.
GACGAACGCUGGCGGCGUGCUUAACACAUGCCAGUCGAACGGAAAGGCCCUGCUUUUGUGGGGUGCUCGAGUGGCGAACGGGUGAGUAACACGUGAGUAACCUGCCCUUGACUUUGGGAUAACUUCAGGAAACUGGGGCUAAUACCGGAUAGGAGCUCCUGCUGCAUGGUGGGGGUUGGAAAGUUUCGGCGGUUGGGGAUGGACUCGCGGCUUAUCAGCUUGUUGGUGGGGUAGUGGCUUACCAAGGCUUUGACGGGUAGCCGGCCUGAGAGGGUGACCGGCCACAGUGGGACUGAGAUACGGCCCAGACUCCUACGGGAGGCAUUGGGGAAUAUUGCACAAUGGGCGGAAGCCUGAUGCAGCAACGCCGCGUGCGGGAUGACGGCCUUCGGGUUGUAAACCGCUUUCGCCUGUGACGAAGCGUGAGUGACGGUAAUGGGUAAAGAAGCACCGGCUAACUACGUG